CCGGCGCACGGGUGAGUAACGCGUAUGCGACCUGCCCGUUGCAGGGGGGAUAAUCGGGAGAAAUCCCGUCUAAUACCGCGUAACGCCGCGGAGCUGCAUGGCCCUGCGGCCAAAGGGAGCGAUUCCGGCAACGGAUGGGCAUGCGUGACAUUAGCUAGUUGGCGGGGCAACGGCCCACCAAGGCGACGAUGUCUAGGGGUUCUGAGAGGAAGGUCCCCCACACUGGUACUGAGACACGGACCAGACUCCUACGGAAGGCAGCAG
This 264-nucleotide ribosomal RNA is filed under the name uncultured bacterium. RNAcentral describes it as "partial 16S ribosomal RNA". It matches the Rfam family "Bacterial small subunit ribosomal RNA", at positions 95 to 354 of the family's 1533-position model. The record is from RNAcentral.